AACGAACGCUGGCGGCAGGCUUAACACAUGCAAGUCGAACGCCCCGCAAGGGGAGUGGCAGACGGGUGAGUAACGCGUGGGAACAUACCCUUUCCUGCGGAAUAGCUCCGGGAAACUGGAAUUAAUACCGCAUACGCCCUACGGGGGAAAGAUUUAUCGGGGAAGGAUUGGCCCGCGUUGGAUUAGCUAGUUGGUGGGGUAAAGGCCUACCAAGGCGACGAUCCAUAGCUGGUCUGAGAGGAUGAUCAGCCACAUUGGGACUGAGACACGGCCCAAACUCCUACGGGAGGCAGCAGUGGGGAAUAUUGGACAAUGGGCGCAAGCCUGAUCCAGCCAUGCCGCGUGAGUGAUGAAGGCCUUAGGGUUGUAAAGCUCUUUCACCGGAGAAGAUAAUGACGGUAUCCGGAGAAGAAGCCCCGGCUAACUUCGUGCCAGCCGCCGCCGUAA
Molecule: ribosomal RNA, 447 nt
Filed under: uncultured bacterium
Lineage: Bacteria
Description: partial 16S ribosomal RNA
Rfam family: Bacterial small subunit ribosomal RNA
Source: RNAcentral